AACGAACGCUGGCGGCAUGCCUAACACAUGCAAGUCGAACGAAGGCUUCGGCCUUAGUGGCGCACGGGUGCGUAACGCGUGGGAAUCUGCCCUUUGCUUCGGAAUAACAGUUAGAAAUGACUGCUAAUACCGGAUGAUGUCGCAAGGCCAAAGAUUUAUCGGCAAAGGAUGAGCCCGCGUAGGAUUAGCUAGUUGGUGGGGUAAAGGCCUACCAAGGCGACGAUCCUUAGCUGGUCUGAGAGGAUGAUCAGCCACACUGGGACUGAGACAUGGCCCAGACUCCUACGGGAGGCAGCAGUGGGGAAUAUUGGACAAUGGGCGAAAGCCUGAUCCAGCAAUGCCGCGUGAGUGAUGAAGGCCUUAGGGUUGUAAAGCUCUUUUACCCGGGAUGAUAAUGACAGUACCGGGAGAAUAAGCUCCGGCUAACUCCGUG
This 433-nucleotide ribosomal RNA is filed under the name uncultured bacterium. RNAcentral's name for it is "partial 16S ribosomal RNA". It matches the Rfam family "Bacterial small subunit ribosomal RNA", at positions 29 to 507 of the family's 1533-position model. The record is from RNAcentral.